UAAACCCUACUUUGUACGUGAUGAAGCUGAUUUUGUUAUGAACCAACAUAGCUACCUCGGGAGUCCGGCUCUGUUUAUGGCAGGCAGGCCGUCUUUUUAAGACGGAACCUUAAAAUAAAUAGGAGGACACCCACCUUGCUUGCGCAGGGUUCAGGUAAUAAAUCAGCAUAACGGCAUAGUGGGGCUUUA
Molecule: non-coding RNA, 189 nt
Filed under: Bacillota bacterium
Lineage: Bacteria; Bacillati; Bacillota
Description: 6S RNA
Rfam family: 6S / SsrS RNA
About the family: E. coli 6S RNA was the first non coding RNA to be sequenced, but its function was unknown until recently.
Source: RNAcentral